Molecule: unclassified non-coding RNA, 167 nt
Filed under: uncultured Toxicocladosporium
Lineage: Eukaryota; Fungi; Ascomycota; Dothideomycetes; Capnodiales
Description: sequence contains ITS1
Source: RNAcentral
CAAGUAAACCCGUCCUCGGUCUCGGCCGGGGAUGGGCUACUACCAACCCUUUGUUGUCCGACCGCGUUGCCUCCGGGGCGACCCUGACCUCCGGGUUCUGGGGGACCCCGGGUGGACACCUAAACUCUGCGUAACUUUGUAGUCUGAGUAAAUAAGUUAAUAAAUUA